UGGAAGUAAAAGUCGUAACAAGGUCUCCGUAGGUGAACCUGCGGAGGGAUCAUUACACAAUACAAUAUGAAGGCUGUCCGCAGCUGGAGUAUUUUAUUACCCUUGUCUUUUGCGCACUUGUUGUUUCCUGGGCGGGUUCGCUCGCCACCAGGACCACCAAAUAAACCUUUUUUAUGCAGUUGCAAUCAGCGUCAGUACAAACAAUGUAAAUCAUUUACAACUUUCAACAACGGAUCUCUUGGUUCUGGCAUCGAUGAAGAACGCAGCGAAAUGCGAUACGUAGUGUGAAUUGCAGAAUUCAGUGAAUCAUCGAAUCUUUGAACGCACAUUGCGCCCUUUGGUAUUCCAAAGGGCAUGCCUGUUCGAGCGUCAUUUGUACCCUCAAGCUUUGCUUGGUGUUGGGCGUUUUUGUCUUUGGUCGCCCAAAGACUCGCCUUAAAGUGAUUGGCAGCCGGCCUUUCUGGUUUCGCAGCGCAGCACAUUUUUGCGCUUGCCAUCAGCAAAACGGCAAUCCAUCAAGCCUCCUUCUCACGUUUGACCUCGGAUCAGGUAGGGAUACCCGCUGAACUUAAGCAUAUCAAUAAGCGGAGGAA
Molecule: ribosomal RNA, 593 nt
Filed under: Curvularia lunata
Lineage: Eukaryota; Fungi; Ascomycota; Dothideomycetes; Pleosporales; Pleosporaceae
Description: eukaryotic LSU rRNA
Rfam family: 5.8S ribosomal RNA (bases 219-372)
Source: RNAcentral